GCUGCCGCAAAAUCGGUGGUCGGGCGUAGGAACCCGUGUUACUCGUUGGCGAUACCAGACGCCAUUAGCGUCUUUUUU
This 78-nucleotide small RNA is filed under the name Pectobacterium betavasculorum. RNAcentral's name for it is "isrK". It matches the Rfam family "isrK Hfq binding RNA". Lineage: Bacteria; Pseudomonadati; Pseudomonadota; Gammaproteobacteria; Enterobacterales; Pectobacteriaceae. The record is from RNAcentral.